This 102-nucleotide ribosomal RNA is filed under the name uncultured bacterium. RNAcentral's name for it is "partial 16S ribosomal RNA". The record is from RNAcentral.
UGAGGAAUAUUGGUCAAUGGGCGCGAGCCUGAACCAGCCAAGUCGCGUGAGGGAUGACGGCCCUACCGGGUUGUAAACCGUCUUUUAGUCGGGGGAGUCAAA